Molecule: ribosomal RNA, 497 nt
Filed under: uncultured bacterium
Lineage: Bacteria
Description: partial 16S ribosomal RNA
Rfam family: Bacterial small subunit ribosomal RNA
Source: RNAcentral
GAUGAACGCUGGCGGCGUGCCUAAUACAUGCAAGUCGAGCGAACAGACGAGGAGCUUGCUCCUUUGACGUUAGCGGCGGACGGGUGAGUAACACGUAGGUAACCUACCUAUAAGACUGGGAUAACUUCGGGAAACCGGAGCUAAUACCGGAUAAUAUUUCGAACCGCAUGGUUCGAUAGUGAAAGAUGGCUUUGCUAUCACUUAUAGAUGGACCUGCGCCGUAUUAGCUAGUUGGUAAGGUAACGGCUUACCAAGGCAACGAUACGUAGCCGACCGGAGAGGGUGAUCGGCCACACUGGAACUGAGACACGGUCCAGACUCCUACGGGAGGCAGCAGUAGGGAAUAUUCCGCAAUGGGCGAAAGCCUGACGGAGCAACGCCGCGUGAGUGAUGAAGGUCUUCGGAUCGUAAAACUCUGUUAUUAGGGAAGAACAAACGUGUAAGUAACUGUGCACGUCUUGACGGUACCUAAUCAGAAAGCCACGGCUAACUACGUG